CCGGAGUACUAUGAAUAUUAAAAAUUUAAAACUCAAAGAACUUGGCGGUGNCCNUAGACCACUCAGGGGAACCUGUCUCAUAAUCGAUAAUCCACGUUGUACCUGACCUUUUUUUGUAUUCAGUUUGUAUACCGUUGUCGUCAGGUAACUUUUUAGAAAUUAGAAGUUAGCAGUAGAAAUAAAAAAUAAUUUAAUACGUCAAAUCAAGGUGCAGCUAAUGAAAAGGGGAGGAUGGGUUACAAUUAUAUAAUUUAUAAUAACGGAUAGGUAUAUGGAGUAUGUAUUAAUUAUAAGGCGGACUUGAAAGUAAAUUAGGUUAUAUAAAUAACUUGAAUGAGGCUCUGAAACGUGU
This 352-nucleotide ribosomal RNA is filed under the name Terebra sp. MNHN IM 2013-52296. Its description in RNAcentral is "partial 12S ribosomal RNA". Lineage: Eukaryota; Metazoa; Mollusca; Gastropoda; Neogastropoda; Terebridae. The record is from RNAcentral.